Molecule: ribosomal RNA, 253 nt
Filed under: uncultured bacterium
Lineage: Bacteria
Description: partial 16S ribosomal RNA
Rfam family: Bacterial small subunit ribosomal RNA
Source: RNAcentral
GACGGAGGAUGCAAGAGUUAUCCGGAAUGAUAGGGCGUAAAGCGUCCGCAGGUGGCAGUUCAAGUCUGCUGUCAAAGACUGGGGCUUAACCCUGGAAAGGCGGUGGAAACUGAAGCGCUAGAGUGCGGUAGGGGUAGAGGGAAUUCCCGGUGUAGCGGUGAAAUGCGUAGAGAUCGGGAAGAACAUCGGUGGCGAAAGCGCUCUACUGGACCGCAACUGACACUCAGGGACGAAAGCUAGGGGAGCGAAUGGG